GGGGUAAUUCAGGAAGAAGCUGUACCUUAAGGACUGGAAAGCACAGGCACCAGGAAAAGCUUUUUGUGAUUCCUUCUAUCAGGAGGAAGUUUGUACUCAAGAGAACAUUAAUUGAUACUAGUAGCUUGAGAGUUAAAAUUCAGUUACGGACAAGAUGGGAGGCUGUUUUCAAUAAAAAACAUUCAUUCCAAGAUAGAACUCAGAGGAAAUUUUGAAAGGCCUCAAGUGCCAUCAAGGAAAUCUGCCUUCAUUGUCUUCAAAGGAUGCUACAGCGUGAAGCACGUUACUAAAUAAAGAUAUUACUCAGCAUGUAUUUGCA
This 319-nucleotide long non-coding RNA is filed under the name Phasianus colchicus (ring-necked pheasant). RNAcentral's name for it is "lncRNA (ENSPCLG00000002286.1)". Lineage: Eukaryota; Metazoa; Chordata; Aves; Galliformes; Phasianidae. The record is from RNAcentral.